This 443-nucleotide ribosomal RNA is filed under the name uncultured bacterium. Its description in RNAcentral is "bacterial SSU rRNA". It matches the Rfam family "Bacterial small subunit ribosomal RNA", at positions 340 to 773 of the family's 1533-position model. The record is from RNAcentral.
UACGGAAGGCAGCAGUGGGGAAUAUUGCACAAUGGGCGCAAGCCUGAUGCAGCCAUGCCGCGUGUAUGAAGAAGGCCUUCGGGUUGUAAAGUACUUUUCAGUCGUGAGGAAGGUGUUAAGGUUAAUAACCUUAGCAAUUGACGUUAGCGACAGAAGAAGCACCGGCUAACUCCGUGCCAGCAGCCGCGGUAAUACGGAGGGUGCGAGCGUUAAUCGGAAUUACUGGGCGUAAAGGGCACGCAGGCGGUUAAUUAAGUUGGAUGUGAAAUCCCCGGGCUUAACCUGGGAAUGGCAUUCAAGACUGGUUAGCUAGAGUCUUGUAGAGGGGGUAGAAUUCCGAUGUGUAGCGGUGAAAUGCGUAGAGAUGUGGAGGAAUACCGGUGGCGAAGGCGGCCCCCUGGACAAAGGACUGACGCUCAUGUGCGAAAGCGUGGGGAGCAAAC